Ahaetulla prasina is the source of this 1108-nucleotide long non-coding RNA. RefSeq lists it as uncharacterized. The transcript has 3 exons. The record is from RefSeq and is a predicted model, not a curated record. NCBI's taxonomy places the organism in Eukaryota, Metazoa, Chordata, Lepidosauria, Squamata, Colubridae.
UAGGCCUCAUGAAUGCACUCAAAACCUGAAGCAAUGAAGCAGGCAAAGAAAGUGUGACAGAGAGGAGAUUUCUGCAAGUUAACCUGUCAAUCACUGCCGAGCACCCGAUUGGCCGGCCGAGAUAUCAGCCGCCUCCCGGUGCUUGCCCGGUGAUUCGCUGCGAGGCUCGCGGCUCCUCCCCGGGGGCGGAGGAGGCGGCGAGCAGGAAAGAGGCCGCUGGCCGUGCCUGACCCCAGCACUUCUACCCUCGCCUUCCUCGGGCCGCCUGGCUCAGCUCCUCGCACCUCCCCAUGUCGGAUACACGUGGCGGCAGUGACAGCUGUCCCGACGAGACUGGCGUCGAGAAACAGUAAUAUUUUUUAAACAUUUUAAGGAAGAACUUGGAACAACCACUUCUGUCAGGAAAAAUAUCCGUCAGUAGAAGAAAUUAGAAAUUUAUGCCUGGCGUUCCAGAUAUAUUAGCCAAGGGGCUGAUCGCUAUGAAACUGGAAAGAAGUAUAAAUGAACUAUAACUGCAAAGAAAAUCAAUACCUUUCAUCACAGACCUUUAACUCUAAUUCAGUUAAAUCUGUAUUUAUUUUUAAGUAAGACUAUAUGACAUUUGAUUUUCCUGAAAAAUAUUAUACUACCCAAGCAUAUAUUUAAUAUCAUAUUUCGCAGGAAAAUCAGAUGCCAUACAGUGCUAUGUAUAAAUAAGUAAAUAUUAUAUGAUUUCUUAGUACUUUCAUGCUCUCUAUUAAUCUGCCUGGGGAAAUUACUAUUCUUCAUUCCUCCUCUGCACUGCAAAGGCUUGAUAUAAUUGCAUCAAAAUGUUACACUUAGUUUCUAUAAUAUCUCAGCUGUUUAUCUCUUCUUGCCUCUUCUGAACAAUUUCAUCAGUUGGAUUUAGAUCUAAUAAAUUAAGGCAUGAUAAUUAAUUCUGUACUUCUUCCCCUGUAAAUUCUAAUCAUAACUGUUACAAUUUGUUAAAUACCAACUUUCCAAGAAAUUUUAUAUUUUUAAAGGAGUCUUUGUGUUUAAUUGCUGAUUCAAGCCAUGACAUGAAAGCAAACCUAGUGUCAGGGUUCCAAGUAACAGGCCCAUUGCAAUAAAUACUCCAAAGCAGGGG